GUCAGCUGAAGACGGACGGACUGUUCAGAACAUCACGUUGUUGGACUGGAGAAAGAGCCUCAUUUAAAAGCACAAGUUAUUCAGCACAUUUGUUGGUUACCUUAAGGGCUUCAACUAACCGAGCUUCAAAUGGCAGAUUCUCAACCGUUUCCUGAAAGGUAUGAUGAGUUGGAUACCUCCCUGAAAAAUGAUCUCAGUGA
Sinocyclocheilus grahami is the source of this 200-nucleotide long non-coding RNA. RefSeq lists it as uncharacterized. NCBI's taxonomy places the organism in Eukaryota, Metazoa, Chordata, Actinopteri, Cypriniformes, Cyprinidae. The record is from RefSeq and is a predicted model, not a curated record. The transcript is spliced from 4 exons.